RNAcentral lists this ribosomal RNA (261 nucleotides) under uncultured bacterium. RNAcentral's name for it is "partial 16S ribosomal RNA". It matches the Rfam family "Bacterial small subunit ribosomal RNA", at positions 793 to 1055 of the family's 1533-position model. The record is from RNAcentral.
GUCCUAGCUGUAAACGGUGUGCACUUGGUGUAGGGGGAGUUGUCCCCCUGUGCCGGAGCUAACGCGUUAAGUGCACCGCCUGGGGAGUACGGUCGCAAGAUUAAAACUCAAAGGAAUUGACGGGGCCCGCACAAGCGGUGGAGCAUGUGGCUUAAUUCGAUGCAACGCGAAGAACCUUACCUGGGCUUGACAUGUAACUGCAUACCAGCCGAAAGGCAGGUAGCCUUCGAGGGUGUUACACAGGUGCUGCAUGGCUGUCGU